UGCCGGCGAGUGGCGAACGGGUGAGUAAUGUAUCGGAACGUGCCCAGUAGUGGGGGAUAACUACUCGAAAGAGUGGCUAAUACCGCAUGAGAUCUCUGGAUGAAAGCGGGGGACCGUAAGGCCUCGCGCUACUGGAGCGGCCGAUAUCAGAUUAGGUAGUUGGUAGGGUAAAGGCCUACCAAGCCUGCGAUCUGUAGCUGGUUUGAGAGGACGACCAGCCACACUGGGACUGAGACACGGCCCAGACUCC
This 250-nucleotide ribosomal RNA is filed under the name uncultured Comamonadaceae bacterium. RNAcentral describes it as "partial 16S ribosomal RNA". It matches the Rfam family "Bacterial small subunit ribosomal RNA", at positions 86 to 339 of the family's 1533-position model. The record is from RNAcentral. Lineage: Bacteria; Pseudomonadati; Pseudomonadota; Betaproteobacteria; Burkholderiales; Comamonadaceae.